GGACUACUACUAGUUGGGGAAGUUAGUAAAGCAAGGGCCAGGGAGUCUACCAGAUCAAAUGCUUAAGCUGUACCAUAAGGAAAGAGCAGAAUCCAAUAUAGAGUAAGCAACUAGUGGUUCUCGGUGAUGUUGGCGAGACUCGAGAGAAAGAAUGUCUUUACCCGACCUCUACUUAUAGUUAUUAUCCCGAGUAGUGGACUGUUUCCCACUUGAUAGUUUCAUUCUCUGUACUGACAGAAACACUAGCACCCGACCCAGAGAGUAAGCAUAAGUGAGUUCUCAUAUGGAAAUAGUAAUGUACUUUACUCUGCCCCGCCCUCUAUCAGAAAGGGAGUGGAAAGGUUUACUGCUCGUUAAGUCUAGGCCCUUAUAGUCAGAAUAAGAAUAAAGUAAAGGCUAGGAAGCAAGCCAUAGAGCAUAACCAGAAGCCCAAGAAACAAGAAUAAAUGAGUGGAUAAGAGGGGUAAGAAGUAGUCCCUUAAGUGAGAAUUGAGCUAUUAACUGUCAGAUUGAAACACUGCCCCAACAGACUCCACUCUACUAGGAAAAAGGAGUCCAACCACUGAGUAACGGAAUCGAACAAGUAAUAGUUGGAAUCCCACUACGACGAAUAAGACAACCACUUUAAAGGAAUCCAAAUGCAACUAAUGAUAAGAAUGGAACCGGGGCAUUGUAGGAUGAAAGUUUCAAUCAAAAGAGUGGAGCUGCUACUUAUCAUAUUGGUACUAGAGCCUAGGAAAUCCAAGACUAUAGUAAUUGAACUCACCAUAACAAGACCUUAGUUAAUGACUUCGAUUCUGACUUGUUAAUGAAAAUACCUCCCUCCAGGCUUUCAUUCUAUACCUAGCGAUCCACUUAUUCGUUUGAAAACGACCUCUUUGCUUUGAGUCUGGGUUGUUAGCUUCAGUAUCAGUGAGUUAGGUUACGCUCUAGCGCAGUAUAAUACAUGUAUUUCGGACUACAAUAUAUGGUUAGUAUAACAUAGGACCAAACAAAACAGUAAGUUAAGGUACGGAUCUAGUAAGUAUGGAUACUAAGCAUAGGUACAAUCUAUAGUGCAUCUAGCAAUGAAUCCAAGAAAAGGGAAUUCCACUGGCGCUUCUCAUGCUUUUACUUAUGACUUAGAAUAGGACUCCCACUAACGAGGCUCCCACUGCUGACUCAUAGCCUGUCCUUACAGUUCUAUAACCUUGCUUUACAGCCUGUGAGCUUUACCUUCCCGCCUUGCAUUCUGAAACUCCUUUCUUUCAUGCUUAGAUGAGGUGCUCUAAUACUUUUACUUAUCGUUUUAGUAAGUAGUAAGCUUACAGUAGUAGCGAUAAGAACUCAAAUAAUAAUAAAGAAUAACCUAAGCCAGAACCCGACUCCUUUCUUAAGGUCUUGUUGCUGGGGGGUGCAUUCACUCUUUAGCUCCAGCCUUGUAUUCUCUAGUUCGAGGGAUCUGGCCUAGACUCCUUGCUUCUUGGGUUUAGUAUGAAAAUGACUGCUUCCAGGGUAUGGUAUGAGUAUGCUUAUAGCCCGUAUUCCUUACUUGAGAGUUUUGGGCACCAGCCCUUAUGUUACUAAUGGGGCGAAUUCUGUGUUUUCACUUGCAAUCUUAGACCCCCUUUCUUUCAUUCCGAGUUUCCUGUCUCUCGUUCUCCAACUACUCACUAAAAGAAUCCAACUAAGAAUAAAGAACUCAAUCCGCAAAAGCGAGGCUGUAACUACUGCUUCUAUUACUUUAACCGCUACUGGAAAGAAUGAAAACACCGAUAACAGGAAUCGAGCCCGGAACUAAGCCUUGAGCGACUAUUUAGAAGGUGGAUUCAAGUCUAUCUCUACUUCUAACCUUGUCCUAAUACUUGACCUAGUGCUUCUCAUCCUUUGACUUAUAACAUGGAAUGGCCACCUAACAUGGAAUUGAACUACCGCCUUAAAGAGUGGAACCACCGCUAACAAUAAUGGAACUAGUAAAAGCAAGACAGCAACCAGGGCUUUGAAGCGGGAAAGAAAGAAUAGAACUAAGUAGGCAAAGAAUGUAACUAGCAACUCCACCUCCUCUUGAAAUAAGCCCAGUAGUAGAACCAAGUCCUGUGUGAAACUGGAAAGGAAGCACUAACGGGAGCAAGAUCGGUCUACUUAAAAUGCAUUAUUUCUCAUCGCCAAGAUGUUUUUCGAAGUAUUGUUGCUUGGCCCUUACUUGCUUUAGUUGCUGGUUUGCUCUUUCUCUGGGCUCUAUAAACAAAGAAGAAAACUCCAAUUAAGUAGAACAAUGAAAAUAGGACUAAUCUGAAUGAAACUCUAGUUGAUGAAACUUACACUCGGGGGAUUCUACUAAAACUGAGUCACUGCCAGAUUCUCUUGCACCUCGUUCAAGGAGCUAGAGCCAGCCUACUUAAGCUUUCUCACAAGCACAAUCACCUUUACCUUUCCACUUAGUGUUGUUGGGACAGUUUAGUUUAUUUCAUCUUUCGCCAGUCUAGAAGAUUGCCAGAACUCCCUGCCGCCCUGUUUCUUGUUGCGUAAGUCUGGACCAGUAGUAAAGUCAAACAUCAAUUUCUUCAUUCACUGCAUGUUCUCAAACAUCAAUUUAAGAACCAACUUGACAAGUGGAUCUACUAGACUUAACAAGCACCAAGAACUAAACGUUCCUCACCCCGACCUCUCCUCUCAAUUCUAACUUUAACUACUGAGUAGCCGGCUAACUGGUAUUAUUACUUAAGAGAACAGAACUACUUUCAACUACUCGACAAAGACACUCUCGACAAAGAGAUCAACUCAAACAAGAACAAGAGCUGGACGACUAUCUUAUUACCUGAACUCGACUCUGGACUCCCUUACCGACCUCGCCCAACUUCAAUCUAGGGGCAACUCGGGAUGGCGCCUAGGCCUAUAUAGAACCUGUCCGAGAAAGAACCUGUCCUGGCCCAGUGCUCUUAACCAAAGAAUAAGGUAACCCUUCGCGCAUUCCAUUACAAAGGAAAAGAGAGGAAACAAGCUAACCUUAGCAACUCCCUUAAGUAGACAAACUUGGACCGGACUUCUUCCUCACCUACUUCUUAAACAGUUCCCGUUAGCGCUAAACUCCAUUCUUCAUUUCAACAUUACAUUACGGGCAUGUUCUAAAGGAACCCUCAAGAUGUUAGGAAGAAAUGCAUUCAUUAUUUCAAAUAAAUAGAUGUUUUUAAUGUGAUUUACCAUAAGAGUGGUUUCCCCGCUUUGUUGCAGUUGCUUGCCCCAAGUGGUUUUGAAGUUAUUUCCAUCUUUAGUGUAAUUGGUUUUGGUGACUUCCAUAGCCUCUCUCUCUUUACUUACCUAGCUCUAGCUUAAGAAUGGAAUGGAAUGAGUUUACUUACUAGCCAAGCCUAUAACUCUCAAUCAGGUGAGUCGCCAACAAACACCUUACUUUAGAACAGCAGAUGCUCUGGUAAACUUUCCUCUGACUGGUGAUUCCACAACUAAUGAAGGGUAUUCCACUCGGUAUUCUGAAUCGACUUAACUGUCAACUCCCUUACACUGGACAACUACUAGGAACCGCUCCUGCCGCGCAACACAAACUAAGCUUGGCCCCGGGUUUUGUAAAACGAAUCCUGUGUUCGGCAACUACUUUUCUAUUACCUACGGAGUUUGGUUCUAUACUUACUCAUAGAUGCGAGAGAUCGUACCCAUAUUAUAAUACUAAUACGGAUGGGUGGGAAAGUCAGCCUAACAGUCGAACUACAGAAUAUAAGUAAUAAGUGGGAAGCUGGCUAAUAGGCAAGAAAGACCCCAGGAGAGCUGUCCUGUUAGCAGAAAUUGGAGGUUUCAAGCGAGUCAAGUCAGAAUAGGUGCUAUGGGAGGCAGCUUUGGGUUUUCUGUAGUUAAAGAAAGCAAGUGUGGCAGAGCAGACUCGUAGGCAGUGAAGCGAGGUUCUAGGUAAGUAAAGCAAGGUUCGAGAUCAGCAGUUACGGAAUGAGCUAAAGAGCACUUAGGCUGUCAGGCAUUAGUGGAAGAAUGAAGUGUGUGGGGAGCUAUACUUAGCUCGCGGGGAGAGCACGAUAGGCUUUAAGGCAAGGGUUUCGGUAUUGCCUUUGCUAGUUCCAUUCUGAUAGCUAUCAGUUCUAUUCUAAUAGUGAGUGUAUGGGCGGGCUAGCACAAGAGAAAGGGAAUGUGAGGAAGCAGUUGUCGGGUAAUCUUAAUCACUUAUAUGCGAUGCUCGAGAUAGAUUGGCAAGAGAGAGACUAAUUCCUAUGCUUGCUUAUAUGCUAUGUGCACGAGAUUUCAUGGAAUGGGUUUGGUCGGGAAUAUUUACAGAAGGACUCACUGAUAGGGGACCGUUUCUUACAAAAACUCCAACCAGCGAGCAACAUCGGUAAGGUAACGACUUGACACUGCAUAAAGGUUAUUUUGCUAUAAACCCAGAUGGAAUUCCCGUAUAACAGAAAGAGAAAGCUUAUUCACGUACUGUAACACAACACACCUGCUUUUUCGUUUGAGGUUUAGGCUGCUACCCCCUGUUGCAAAUGCAAAUAAGGAUAUUCUUUCGACUGUUUCUUUCCUUUCUACUUAACCGCUACAUGGGCAGUGGAUUCUACUGUUCCGAGAGACUUGACCCCAUUAGCUUCAGCGAUGGAUCCGAAGUCAACAAAUACAGAAUGGAAUCUACUUGGCGCUGAAGAGAACUCUGUUAGCUUUGCUUUAAGAGCUGGACUUUAGAAAGAAAGAAUUCAUUACUGCUACUAGCUUUCAUAGCCAUAGGAAACUACAAAUUAGGGGUAGGCAAAUGAGGGGUAGGCUAAGACUCACAUAGACCGACAUACAGUAAAUACUUAAAGGAGCUGUUGAGUCAGAUGUCGCAUUAGCCUGUUUUCAAAUAGGGUGAUUCUUGAAGUGGUCAUUUGUAAGCCAAGGAACGAACUUCUUAGCCAGAGCAACCAAAAAGGUAUUACUUCAUCUGUGCUCUUAGUAAGAAUGAAUCCACUGCUGGUGGAAGGUUGCAAGGAAUUGAAUAAGAAGCAUUGAAUAGGACAUGGAGUUAUGCCGGAAUCUAAGAACUGUAGGAGGUUGAAUCAAUAGUAGAAGAUAUCCACGAGCAGAAUGAAUGAAGCCAAUCAGAAGAUUAGUUGUUUCGAUGGACAUAUAAGGAGCUUUGAGCAAACUAACCUGUUGAGGAAGAGAAGGGGAAUGAAGCCAAUCAGAAUCUGAGUAAUGACGAUGGACAUAAGGGGCUUUGAGCAAACCUAUUGAGGAAGAGAAGGGGAAUGAAGCCAAUCUUUCCUGUUGGUUGAUGCGGAGUAGCACCUUCUUAUCUUUUGAUUGCUAGUAUGGAGAGAGAGAGAGGAGAAGGAAAGAAUAUGGAUUCGAACUAAUCAGACUAUCCAUAGAACCCCUAAAGGAGCACUAGACUGAUUGAGUUAUACUCAAGGAGCACUAGACUAAUUGAGUUAUAGCAGUACGUACCUUAUUAAGCAGUUGCAAUAGGUCCACGUAGCGGUACGGGCGAUUCUGUUACAUGUGCUCAACGGGCAGCCACGGAACUGCUAAAUCCCUCGUUAGACUCCUGUUCCGGUCAAUCAUGCUUGUAAGCCUUCAUCACACUUGGCAACCCGACUGAAGAAAUAGGGUGACGCGACUUGUGUAGCGAGGGGCGCCGUGGUCCCCCUAGCCCUACACGUAAUAAGAAGGUAGACAGCAAUAGAUCCAUGGUAGUUCUACCCAUUCGACUUUGUAGGAUGAAGCGAGCUAUACUCGCCCACUUAGAGCCAUCCAUUACCCCCUUGACUGAUGUCCUAUAAUUCAUUAGAAUCGUAAGUACCCAUCCCUUCAUCCGGGGCUCCACUCUGAAAAGUAACUGGACAAGAGCUGGUUAGCAAGACCCCAUAACAUGUACGCAUCGGCAAGAGGUUCUGCAGAGGUAAGGUACAAAUGAUCAGCCACAUCAGUCCACUACUUACAAAUUCCAGAUUCUAUAUCCAAUGCCAUUUCCGAUCUUGAUCAUAAAGAAAGAAAAGAAUGGAAUUGGAGGGGAUAAUCUAUGAGCUAUGUUAUAGAGAGAAUAUGAUAAGAUCCUCAGUUGUUGAUGUAGUUCCUUGUUCUUAGAUAGAUUUGAUUAGUGAGAAGUUCACUGUGGUCUAUGCACUAUGGUCUAGAAGUUCACUGUGGUCUAUGCACUAUGGUCUAGGAUAGGAGAGGGAUUCCCUUUAGAGAAGAAUUGGAGUAGAAAUUAUUCUAAGAGAAGGAGUGCCUUAAGAGCGAGCUUCUGGCUAAGAGCUUCUGGCUAAGAGAAGGAUGGGAGUAGAAACUAUUCUAAUAGAGGGAGGUCGGGUCGGGGUAAGAAAGAAGAAUUGGUUGACGCCGGUAGAGAAUAGAGUGGACUGGUUGGUAUUGAGAGGAAAGAAGUAGAAUCGAUUAGACAUAAGAAGAGAGUGGACUGGUAUUGCACUAAAGAAUCGAGUUGACUGGAACCAGCAAGAGAAGAGGCUAUAAGAAGGAAGGAAAGGUAGAGUUCGGGUAUAGCUUGUGUCUAAGGAAGAAAGUGGAGUUGAGUACGAAAGUCAGUAAGCAAAUGAUUCUUCAAGUAACGUUAGGGUUCGAGUUAAGUCGUAUCAAGAAGGAUUCUCAAAAGGAUCAUCCGCAGGAACAAGAACAAGGUCAGGAACCAGAACUAAAAGAGACUCUCCUAAAGCUAAUUGAUACCGCGUAUUUAUUGAGUUCACAAGCCAAGCACUACAAGGGAACAGCGCAAACUAGCAAGGAUUUCUGGAACUCCACUCUCUAACGGAUGAGAUAGGAAUGCAUCAACUAUUUCAUUGUAGAGAGGCCCGGCUUUUAUGAUUUCCGGGUUCCUAAAGAAAGAGAAGGGCUUUAUUCAGAAAGGAAGAGGGUAUGAACUCCUAAAUGGUUUUUGAGCCUAUACUUAUUGCUUGCCUUCUGCUGCUGCUCUACUAUAAUAUCGGUUGUAACUCUUCCAAUUGACAUAGUGACAUGACACUUCUGAUUAGCCCUACAAUACAUGAUUUGCCAUAGCUAAUUCUAUAAAGGAGGGGUGAAAGAAAGACUCCCAUUUCUAUAUAUUGAAAGAAAGACUCCCAUUUCUAUAUAUGUAGAAAGGACACAACCUUUUUAGAAACACAGAAAGACUACGAGACUUGAGAUUAUCCAUCCACUGUUACAAGAAUGGUAUGUGCCUCCAUUAGGAAGAGAGGGAUAAUGUUACUAUGUUUCGGUUGAAGUGGAGUUGAACGUGAAUAAUUGUUAGAAAUUACCCACUUGUGUAUCCUUCUGUUCCUAAGGGAAGGGGCUAUCUCAUAUAACAGAAAGAAAGCAUUUCUUAAGUGAAAAGGUAUUUCAUUCCAAUAUUCUGAUCUGAAACUAUUAUAUCACCCCUAGGAGUCUCAAAAGAAGUGUAUCUUGCUAUUGGUAUCAAUCGGUCCUCUCUUGACUUUUGGUGGUAUAGCCAUGACCCUUAUUCUGAAUCUUUCGGUUGCUUAGGGCGCCCUGAGGGAUUCUACUCUUGUCUUGGAGAAGAGUUAUUGAGCACAUAGCUUGGGUACUAUAAGGGAUAAGAGUUAUUGAGCACAUAGCUUGGGUACUAUAAGUGAGUUUCUGAUCGUAUCAUUCAGGCAGAGCCUUGGUUGGGUCCCUUAGUCUUAUGUAUAGCGCAGCUCCCUCCAAGUUUCUUUUGCUAGUUUUGUUCCGAUCGAUGAAGGAUACUUUACUUGUGGGUUCGGAUUCGUUUUCCUAUUUCACAGGGACUUGUAUAUCAAUUCUGUCGGUGCUUCAAUAUUGUCUUGAUUGGCAGUGCAGUUUCUUAUUGUCUUGAUUGUUCUUAUUGUCUUGAUUGGCAGUUUCUUUCUUUUGAAUCUUCAGAGAGACCCUUAGAGUUCUGUCCGGGAGGGUUUGUGAGUAAACUAUGUAUCAAACCGUAAGUGAAGCGGUCUACAAAGAAUACUUUCCAUCUUCCUUCUUUGGCGCAGCUGGAGAUGCCCCACAAGGCCUUAUUUCUCAAGAUUGAAUUAUUCGCGAAAGGAAGCCGGCAAUAGAAAGCAAGCAACCUUUUUGAAUCCAUUGAAGUAGGUGGCCGUGUACACUAGGUAUCAACAAAGCAAAGGACGCUUUCUCUCACCUAACUCUUCGCCUUCGGCUUUCCAUUGAAUGAUCUAUCAGGUGUGCUAUUUAGACUCUGUCAGUUGGGGCUUAUCCCUUUUCAAUAUACAUGGCAUAUACUUACACGAAUAUUCCAACUCAUCGACUCCGCUCAAAGCAUAUGAUCAAAGCUAGAGUGGCGCACAUAGCACAAGAGACUAAUGGAAUUCUCGUUGACCUGACCGGCAGUAAUAGCGAACAAAGACUGUUCUAAUGGAAAAGGGCGAGUACCUCUUUGUGGUAGAUAACGCAACCGAACAAGAAAUUAUGCUUUAAGUAUAGCAAAGCAUCUGGGCGAGCCCCUACACCCGGAAACUGCCAGCGAAUCAUAACUGAACAAGAGGAAGUAGAGCGUCUCACUACUAUAUAUGCUGUACCACAUACGAAGACCCAAAGCCGUUCUUUCUUUAUAGAAGUCCCCAGGACUUUAAGUGCUCAAUGGAAUUUUCCUUGAAAACGAUUCCCUUUACUUCUAGACGAACUGGUUAAUAUUGAACUUGAGUUUAUUCGCCACCGCCCCUCUAUACAUUCCUUCGGCGAGAAAGAAAGCAAGAUCCUUCGGCGAGAAAGAAAGCAAGAAACGUGUUCGGAUAGGGGAGGAAUUGAGUACCUGCCCCCCUACUAAGCAUAAGGGUAUGACCAGCCAGAUCCGAUAACAGCGAUUCUCCGUCUCUGACCUGGAGUUAGAAUAUAUACUGAUCUACAGACAUUUGACCUGGAGUUAGAAUAUAAUAUAUACUGACAACAUUAGCCCAAAAUGCAAUGAUAGCUCGCAUUAUUCAUAGUAAGUCGAUACAUCAUGCUUUUGAGGAAGCUAUUCGGCUCCCUAUUUAUACAUUCUUUCCGUUUGAUGGGCGUGUUCUCGUUUCUAGGUUUGGAUGUUAUUUCAUAAGGGUAUACAAUAAUGACAUUACGUCAAUACAUUCAUCUCAUCUUUUUACGUCAAUACAUUCAUCUCAUCUUUCCAAUCUCUGAAUUCUUGAUCCGCUCAUGCCUCUCACUUUAUGCCUUCCAUUCGACUCCUACACGAAGAAGUCUGACCGUACUUUAUGCCUUAUAUUCGGCUCCUACCUUACCAAGUCCGACCGGGCUUUUCGUUAUCAACUGCUUUCUUUCUGACUUCCAUAUUUGUAUCGUGGGCUUGAGUCCGCCUACGAGUCUAGAUUUACCGUUCGGUACACAUAGCUUUGACUAUCGAAGGAUAGAACAGAACCUAUAGCCUAUUCAGUAUAAGCAUCCUUAUAGAACCUAUAGCCUAUUCAGUAUAAGCAUCCUUAGGGAGGGAAAGUAUAUAUAAGGGGACUCGCCCAAAAUACUGAGACAAUAUCUCAAUUCUUUGCAAUUCUUUUGACUUUUGGGAUUGAAACCCACUUACGGGAAUAAGGCAAGUUAGAUAUUUCACACAAGCUUGGCACCCGGGGGAAUAAGGCAAGUUAGAUAUUUCACACAAGCUUGGCACCCAGGAAUAGGCGUUUUAUGGAUGAUUCAAGCCCUGCACACUCAAAGGCGAGAACGAAGUAGCAAGUCCAAAUGCGUUACCACCAAAUCCAGAAAAAUAGUCAUCAUCCUUAUGGAAUUGAAACCUAAAUCCGCCCAGAUGAGAAAGAAAGAAAAUAUGUUUAGCCACUGUGGGAUGACUAGGCAGGAAGCUAGAGAUGCGCCUGCACAUUGGCGAUACUUGUUUGCAGGAUGAUCCAAUCUCUGAACAACGUAAUUGGUUGAGGUUACUUUGUCCGUCGUGGUGUGAACUGAACCCAUUCACUAGUUUUUAGAAUACUCAAUCAAGGAGCUUAGGAAUGGUUUAAGGUUGAUGAGGCGGAACCAGAAAUGCUACCCACACCGGAAAGAUUGCCUGGGGCUGAUGCUUACUGUGAUGUGGCCUACUUGUAUACUAGUGUUACAUGAGGAUACCCGGAAUCUAGAAUGGCAUGUUCUAUAUGUUAAAGACAUCACUGUUGCGGAAGUGGCAUUGAGGAUGCUGAAGCCACCACUGGUUGUUUGUUCACACAGGGAGAUUGAAGUGGGCCUAUGCUUCGAAAGGGGCGUAGCGGAAUCAGGCGACUUGCCCCUGGAGGAAUUCCUUCUUCUUAGAGUGGAGGCGGAUCUCACUCUUUUGACAAAUGCCCAGAAGCGUCUGUAUACUAGUGAAGGUUAGAACAGGGUGUCGAACUAGACUGCGUCUAUCGAAUCGCCUCUGUAAAGUGAAGUAAAGGCUGGAUGCCGAGAAUCCUAUAUCUAUCUAAGAAGAGCAGGCAUGUGUGGCACUUUAGGACAAAACUCUGCAAGAAGGACCUUUCGUUUAAUAUGCCUUAUGUACUGUAUUAACCGGUCUUGGCAAGAACGCCUUCUUUCUUAUAGAAGCUGCGAUGAAGCGAAUCUAUCAUCUGGAACCCGAUCACAUUGCCCGCUUUACGGCUUGACUGCAUUACCUUCCAAACCUUACCUUUGUCCCUUAACAGCUGACUGCAAGCAUUCCUGGAGCUAGUAAUCCGCCAAAAAGAGAAGUCACUUCAUACAUACGCUCCUGGUGUUCGAACUACUAAUUAAUGGUCGGCUUAAUUAGUAUCCGGAGAAGAAGAGGUGAACGAAGCUAAUGCGUUGCGAGAAGCUUCAUCGACUAUCGAAUCAAUCUAGAAACUAGUGUUUGACUCGCCGUGUAGCGUUAGUCGAGUUACUUAUACUUCAUCAGCAUUAAGUAGUGAGCUCUUCAAUUCCUAUGUUAUGUUAUAUGCCGAUCAGUUCAUCAAUUCCCAUUUCCAAUUCAUUCUCAUUCUUGGGGUUUCUAUUCUUUCCAAUUCAUUCUCAUUCUUGGGGUUUCUAUUCUUAUAUAUGUGUAGAAGUUCAAUUCCUGGGUAAGUCACUUGGCUAUAAGCAUCAGCCACGAGAUUAGCCAAAGCACAAAAAAACUGCUCGAGACACUAGGCCAACCAAGAUGGAUAGCAUAACUCUUGACAUCGAAACGAGUUUGUUCACAGUACCCCCGAGACAUAUCAUUUUCUAGAAACAUACGAAAUGGCUGACACAGCCCUAAGAAUAUGAGCGGAUUUCUCCUCUCGAACGGAGCCUUCUCGAAUUCUUUGAUUAUGAUCCCAGACCGAAUCAGUUAGCAGAAACACAAGAGGGUCUCACCCGGUGGUGCAUCUCUUGCAUCAUACGCUGGCCCAGACCCCAUUGCGGAUGGGAAAAAGAAUAACCCUGUAGCAUCUCAUUCUGUCUUCGGGUCUUGGUGAGUACCCACGCAAUGGCAGUCACGUACAGUAAACAUGGUUUGCUAAACAUAAUGACAAAUGCUGCGGCCAGUCCGCUAUAAGCAAAUACAGGCCAUGCCACUAUUCACAAAAAGAGGAAGAAAGGAACAAUAAACAGUUCGAUCAUCCAGCGGUGAACAACCAAUUCGACGUUGAUUAUUCAAUGAUGGCACAUACCUAAGUAUUGGCAAACGGCAGACAGGGAAGCCGAAAGUCCCGUCCCCUCUUUUUGACGGGUGUGAGCGAUUGCUAAUCAGUAAAAAGCCGAAUGAAACAACUUGCUGACAAAGGAAGAACUGAUAGAGAGUUCCACAUGGGUGAUUGGGUGGAUCUAAGGCCCGGACUUGACUCUCCUUCUCAGCUGCAUUCAGUCAAAGGUUCAAGCCCUGGCUUACUUGGGCUCACCCUGCUAGUGGUGGGUUCGUUCUGGCGGACGAAUAAAAGCCCUGGGAGAAAUCCGAUUCCUCAAUACUACUCCACUCGUGCCUGAAUAGGAAGCCAGAGUCCCUUUUUGUAAGUGGGCAAAGUAUCAUUUUUCAAAGAAGUCUCAAAACGAUCGAAUUUCUUGUACGAAGUCAUUUUCUCACUUACGGAAGGUGGGCAAGGGAGUCAUUCAUAUACUUACCUCCGAUCUGAAUUUGCUGUUCCAGUCACUGAUAAGAAAAGAGAGAAAACGGACUCCUAAUAUCAGAAUCAGAGAGAAAACGGACUCCUAAUAUCAGAAUCAAGUAAGAGGAAUACAGUAUACAAACCUCUUUCUUAUUCUUAGGUUAUGAGUGAGAGCCAUCAUGCAAGGAGUCGAAAUACAAUGGGCAAGCAAGCAAGCUUAUUUCGCGCAGUCAAACAAGAUACAGUUACAUUCUAUACAUUAUGUCGAAGCUUUCCACUCUGCCUUGUCUUCUUAUCUCGAAGCUUUCCACUCUGCCUUGUCUUCUUAUCUCAGGGACUGGUACCCAAGUUUAUACCUGUUUGAAAGCUUCCUUUCGACUUGGAAAAAGAUGUAGGACGGGCCGCUUAAGUAAGAGACUCGAGCUACACACAUCUGCUGGCCUCAGAGCCCUUAGUACUUGAUGAAAGUAGAACACCCAGCCCAAGGGGUUGACGUGUCCAAAGGAGAGAACGAGACAAAGAGGGCCCGGAGCCUCGGACGGUGUCCUUCCUUAUCGAACCAAUACACGAUUCUUCCUCUAUAUGUGACAUGGCCCGAUGGUAUUUUCACAUGACAACGGAAGGUGUUCAGCGUGUUUCAGCCUCGCGCGCAUCUCCAGAGCAAGGUUGCAGACUCUGCGGAAGACGAAUCGGAAUCAGCAUCUAGUCCGGGGUCAUAACCUCUCGAAUAAGUUGUGACCGGCCUCCGUUACUGAGGAAGCUGCCUUAUAAAGAGAAUCUAGUAAGAUGAAGUCAAAUAGAGUUAUUACCAAGCAAGUCCUUUCUUCGUCAUCUGAAUCUGCCUCCAGUACUUCACCUCUUUGCUUAUAUGCCUAAUGAACUUGCCUUGCGCCUUGCUAGGAGUUCGUUCGUUGCCUCAUUUCGUUUUUCUGUAAGAUCCUAAUUCAGGCUCAUUCACUUGUUGUGAAACAAUAGGUUGGGUAGGGCAGAAGGUUGAGUAUCACUGGAAAGAGCUAUCUAUUUCGGCUACUGAGCAAGGCGACGGUAGAUGCCAGUUUGCGGAAUACUUGGAGUUCGAAGUGGCAUGGAUCUAAUGAGCUAUUCCUCGCAUCUCAUCCUUUAGAAUCAAAUAAUCAUAUUGAAUAAGGCAAUUCCCACUAAUCCUCAUGUCCUGUUUUUUUGAUCUCUUCUCUUCGUCAUCCCGCUUAGAAUAACUAUCAGAAUAAAGAGCUUGGAUUCUAUAUACCACCAGCUUUCCUUGAGCAGAUAGGACUGUAAACUGACAGACUAGCUUCGAAAGAACCUACCCAGGGGGCGAUCCUCAUCUCGUUCACUCAAAGAAGCCUAGCUCCACUUUCUUUCUUAUACCAGUAACCGGAGUAAGCCUUUCGCUCGUCCCUUCGCACGUGCAUCUUUAUAUCCCCGGGCAAGCAAUAGAGCAUUGAUUCUUUCCCUCGCUCCCGUAAGUCACUUCGUUCCCUAGCCUUUUCCUUCUAGGCUUCCAGUAGUCCUUCCGUAACCAAGAGAAACCAACCCUAGGAUAAGACCAUGCUACCAGGAAAGGAAAGCCUACCUCGGAAAGGAAUUUCACCAUGAGUUCACGGAUCAGAAGGAACCCAUCCCGUCUUUCAUUAAAGAGCAAUGGUCUACGACUACGACUCCGCUGCUUGGGAGAGCUCCUUUGUGAUUUUCUUUCUUAGGAUAACAGAUCUUGUAGGAUAACAGAUCUUGGUUUUUCACCCGCACCAGACAUAGCAGCCUUUAGUUUCAGUUCUCGGUCCUUUGAAGAUUGGGCAAUAAGCACAUCCAACCAAACCCAAUAUUACUAAACGUUCUGAGUCUUGUCGUUGGACUAAUUACGUCUUCGGUCAUGGUGCCCAUCAUUACACUUUUGAGUAUUUCGGUCUGUUCUUCUCCAGGUAACGUACUCAGAGUUCAUUAUCUCAGCUUUGUCAUCAGUCUCAACUCAAGCUUUGGUUCUUUUCUCACCGAAACUUAUAAGAUCUUGUGCUUUCAAUAAACGACAUUUUGAUAGUUUCCAUUUUCUUGAUAACAAAUUGACGAUGGACGGGAUACUCACUAAGUGCUGAGGAGAAGGAUACAGACACAGCGGUGGACAGCGCCAAAGAGAAAACACAUAACAAGCAGACCAACAGAACCAACUGAACGUUUCCCAAGAGCUAGUGCUCUGAUACCAUGAAAGAGUGGAAAACACUUGGAGCAGCGUCUGCAUCCGAUCUUAUAGAAUCUUUGUCCUGCAAACAACCUAUUCUUACAAAAGAAAAGUCAUAGUGCUACUUACUCCUGCUAAUGCUAGUGCUACUCCUAACAGCGCUUAUUCCGACAACAGCGAGAACAGUAGCUGGGGAUUCGAUUGCAGGUUUGUUUGAUUACCCUAACAGCCUUAUCGAGCAACCUACUCUAGCAGCUCCUUCUGGGCACACUAGUUUCAGAAGUGACUUGCCUUGCCUUCCCCAGCGUCGAAGUAAAGUUCGGAACUCUUUCUCUUAUAUAGGCGAUUUUGCCUUUGAAUCCCAUUCUAACCAUCUUCUUCUUCUGUGUAAGUAAAGACUAUCUGGGCCAUUCUCUUGCAUCAAUUCCUUGCUCCUCGAUAUUGGAAAUUGGGCAUUCGAGUCGAGAACAAGCCCUUGUAAUACCCCAUUGAAUCCAUCAGUAACGAAGAAGGAGUCCCAGUAGUCAAAUAGGCAUUCACUUCACUCGAACAGAAAGAAAGACCAAAAUGACCAUUAGCUGAACGGAAAGUGGGUCUGUCUACAAGAUGAAUACUCGAGAUCGUAAGAUGUGUUGGCAGUCUGGUUCCGCUUUCUCUGACGCCAAGAAUCUUCAUACCUCUUUCCUUUCUCUCUCGUGCCCUUCUCUUUUGAGCGGUAAAAAACAUCAAUUAGGAAUGAGAGCGCACUGCCGGAUCAUGAAAACGUUCUAAUCUACCAACAACCAGGGUUUACUUGAUUGGCUCUUUAUCGGCUUGACUAAACCCAUCUAUAAACCUUAAUGCCCUGAUAGUCCACUUAACUAAUCAAUUACAGAGCAUAUCCUUAUGCUUCCGACUAAGCCGUGCUUGCUACCCCCAGAAGCCACCUUUGAUCCUAAGUCGCAUUGAGAAUAAGUGAUAGGAAUUUCUCUGCACUAAAGGAUUCUGCCCGAGUCCCCCAAGCCACAAUGAUAAUAGUAGGUCUUCCUCCUUAUGAUUAUGUCUGGCAAGCAAGCUAGCUUCCCUAUUCAUGGAAGAUAUCUAAAGUAUUCCUAUUUAUUGCCUGAAGUGAGCUACAAGACUGAUACUGAUACUAGCUUUUGCUUGCGCUUCUUCUCAGACUACGGCUUGCCCGCGAUAACCCUACUGAGCUUCAUUAAGCUGUUGGAAAAAAGGAAUGAAGAGUCAAAGUCAGUAUAAGCUCCCUAGGAUUGAGAUAGAUACGAGACUGGCCAGCGAACCACUAAAGGACCCGAGACUGAACCCCAGCCUAGGCACUCCUACAACGGAUAGAGCCUUGACCCGGAUGACAUGAAAUGGAAAUCCAAAAAACGACAAUGAACUAUUGAAGCUAGAAGUGUGAUUGAUCAGACAAGUAUAAAGGGCUUUCGGUAUACUUCUUUCAUUUCCGAAUUAGCUUGCUACAAGUCCUAGCAUUAGUAUGACCGCGUAAGGGAAAUCCAUCAACAAUCAUUCCCCUCCAGAAGUAGAGUCCUCGUCCGCUUAUUCGAGAGCCUCUCUUGCGGGUUGAGUUCAUUCACAAAGAAACAGUCUUCUUCGAAAGUAUGCAGGUUAGCUUAUCUAUGUUCGUUUACACCUUGGCCUACCAAAGUUCUGAUGGAUUGGCAAACUCUAAAGUCUAGUUCGGUCGAUAAGAAAAAGCAUUGCUUUCCCACUUCGGUGAAUCUAUUGAUUCUUAGCGCCCCUACGAAAUAGUUCAGCGAGCUACCGUUACUGGAACUUCGACUUCACUUUCUUAGGCCGGAGAAGAUCGCCCAGGAGGGCUUGUAAAAAGCAUCAAAAUGAAGCAUAUUAUUUAAAGGCUGUCAUUAUUAAAGAUGGCACGGAUUGACUUAGUUGAUGAAGGGUCCGUGUAACCAUACCGACCGAAUUCGCACCUACUACCUAAAGCUAACUUCCUUCUUGGGGACCACUUUGUGUAUAACGAAUUUGACGCCCCAGAAUGUAUGGAAUGGUGUAAGCCGUCGAGAGAGAAGCCCUUAUUCAAUGCUUAAUUCAUAGGACAGAGCAGGUGUAGCGUAGCGUUCGUCGCGUACGACUUUCCAAUUUCAUUAGGCAAGUUCAUCAUUUCGUUUCGAUGCUUGGUUCAAAGCAACAAGGGGAUCGUCCCCCAAGUGAGCGCUUUCCGUUGAAACCACUCAACGGCCUGAGAGGAAUGGAUUGACCGAGCCGAGUGAAUGAAGGUUUCAUGAGUCUUGCCUGUCAUAGGCCAGUGAGACAGCAUCUCAUUAGGUAUCAAACUAGCAGGAUUGAGUGGUAGGUAUCAAACUAGCAGGAUUGAGUGGGUGGAAAUGUCAUCGGCUUAUAUUAUUGCAUUGCCCAUGAGACCCUAACUAAUGAGAGCCAGAUUUAGAUGCCUUUGCCCACCUUCCCCUUUAAGAUGAACAGGCUUUAUUAUUCCACACAACUAGAAAAGGAUCCCAACUUUGUCCAGCAUCCCAUAGUCAAACUAAAGGACAGACGUGAUGGCUGAUAUUGCUUUUUCCCUCAUGUUCACAGUGGGUUUCAUGGUUCUGAACCAAGAUUUCAAGGGAAAGACUUCAAUCGAUGAACUCCUUGCAGCAGAAAUGGAUUGCGCCUGAUAAAGGCAAUGAAAUUGUUCAGUGAUGAUCCGUACGGGAUUUCUUAUCUUUGGAUUUCGUUAUAGCCAGCAACGGAAUGAUUUUGGGCAAGCUGACGUCGCUCCCCUUUAUUUGACAGGGUCGGAGAAGGAGGUUGAAGCAAAGGCUGUUUACGCCCGGGCCAAGUAGACAAGAAACGAAAACGGUUUCAUUUAUGCCUCAACUGCAACAUUUCCAUAUUUGACUGAUGCGCUUGGUUUCUCUAUUCUGGCAAACAUGAAUAGAAUCUUUGGAAGUUCAGAUAGCCCAAGGAGCGGAACCUUAUCUAUACUUUGAACUCCUAACCGUGCAACUCAUGAAUGUCAAUUAGCUUAGACUAAGGGCAACUCUAUACCUAUCUCGCCAAGUUACUCGUAUACACCUCCGGCUCAUCUAACUAUAUCUCUUUGAACUCAGGCUACAAUGAAUUGAACCCUGCUUGCUCCUCUAGACCCACAGCCUGUAUUCGUUGCUUGGCCCCUAGUGGAUUGGCC
RNAcentral lists this long non-coding RNA (17290 nucleotides) under Musa acuminata (dwarf banana). RNAcentral describes it as "long non-coding RNA (MACU_LNC008124)". Lineage: Eukaryota; Viridiplantae; Streptophyta; Magnoliopsida; Zingiberales; Musaceae. The record is from RNAcentral.